RNAcentral lists this ribosomal RNA (1343 nucleotides) under uncultured bacterium. RNAcentral describes it as "16S ribosomal RNA". It matches the Rfam family "Bacterial small subunit ribosomal RNA", at positions 28 to 1378 of the family's 1533-position model. The record is from RNAcentral.
GACGAACGCUGGCGGCGUGCUUAACACAUGCAAGUCGAACGGAAAGGCCCUGCUUUUGUGGGGUGCUCGAGUGGCGAACGGGUGAGUAACACGUGAGUAACCUGCCCUUGACUUUGGGAUAACUUCAGGAAACUGGGGCUAAUACCGGAUAGGAGCUCCUGCUGCAUGGUGGGGGUUGGAAAGUUUCGGCGGUUGGGGAUGGACUCGCGGCUUAUCAGCUUGUUGGUGGGGUAGUGGCUUACCAAGGCUUUGACGGGUAGCCGGCCUGAGAGGGUGACCGGCCACAUUGGGACUGAGAUACGGCCCAGACUCCUACGAGAGGCAGCAGUGGGGAAUAUUGCACAAUGGGCGGAAGCCUGAUGCAGCAACGCCGCGUGCGGGAUGACGGCCUUCGGGUUGUAAACCGCUUUCGCCUGUGACGAAGCGUGAGUGACGGUAAUGGGUAAAGAAGCACCGGCUAACUACGUGCCAGCAGCCGCGGUGAUACGUAGGGUGCGAGCGUUGUCCGGAUUUAUUGGGCGUAAAGGGCUCGUAGGUGGUUGAUCGCGUCGGAAGUGUAAUCUUGGGGCUUAACCCUGAGCGUGCUUUCGAUACGGGUUGACUUGAGGAAGGUAGGGGAGAAUGGAAUUCCUGGUGGAGCGGUGGAAUGCGCAGAUAUCAGGAGGAACACCAGUGGCGAAGGCGGUUCUCUGGGCCUUUCCUGACGCUGAGGAGCGAAAGCGUGGGGAGCGAACAGGCUUAGAUACCCUGGUAGUCCACGCUGUAAACGGUGGGUACUAGGUGUGGGGCCCAUUCCACGGGUUCCGUGCCGUAGCUAACGCUUUAAGUACCCCGCCUGGGGAGUACGGCCGCAAGGCUAAAACUCAAAGGAAUUGACGGGGCCCCGCACAAGCGGCGGAGCAUGCGGAUUAAUUCGAUGCAACGCGUAGAACCUUACCUGGGUUUGACAUGGAUCGGGAGUGCUCAGAGAUGGGUGUGCCUCUUUUGGGGUCGGUUCACAGGUGGUGCAUGGCUGUCGUCAGCUCGUGUCGUGAGAUGUUGGGUUAAGUCCCGCAACGAGCGCAACCCCUGUUCACUGUUGCCAGCACGUUAUGGUGGGGACUCAGUGGAGACCGCCGGGGUCAACUCGGAGGAAGGUGGGGAUGACGUCAAGUCAUCAUGCCCCUUAUGUCCAGGGCUUCACGCAUGCUACAAUGGCUGGUACAGAGAGUGGCGAGCCUGUGAGGGUGAGCGAAUCUCGGAAAGCCGGUCUCAGUUCGGAUUGGGGUCUGCGACUCGACCUCAUGAAGUCGGAGUCGCUAGUAAUCGCAGAUCAGCAACGCUGCGGUGAAUACGUUCCCGGG